This 460-nucleotide ribosomal RNA is filed under the name uncultured bacterium. RNAcentral's name for it is "partial 16S ribosomal RNA". It matches the Rfam family "Bacterial small subunit ribosomal RNA", at positions 338 to 795 of the family's 1533-position model. The record is from RNAcentral.
CCUACGGGGUGCAGCAGUGAGGAAUAUUGGUCAAUGGACGAGAGUCUGAACCAGCCAAGUAGCGUGAAGGAUGACUGCCCUAUGGGUUGUAAACUUCUUUUAUAUGGGAAUAAAACGUUCCACGUGUGGGAUUUUGUAUGUACCAUAUGAAUAAGGAUCGGCUAACUCCGUGCCAGCAGCCGCGGUAAUCCGGAGGAUCCGAGCGUUAUCCGGAUUUAUUGGGUUUAAAGGGAGCGUAGGUGGAUUGUUAAGUCAGUUGUGAAAGUUUGCGGCUCAACCGUAAAAUUGCAGUUGAAACUGGCAGUCUUGAGUACAGUAGAGGUGGGCGGAAUUCGUGGUGUAGCGGUGAAAUGCUUAGAUAUCACGAAGAACUCCGAUAGCGAAGGCAGUUCACUGGACUGCAACUGACACUGAGGCUCGAAAGUGUGGGUAUCAAACAGGAUUAGAUACCCCAGUAGUC